This 1090-nucleotide long non-coding RNA is filed under the name Monodelphis domestica (gray short-tailed opossum). RNAcentral's name for it is "lncRNA (ENSMODG00000048713.1)". Lineage: Eukaryota; Metazoa; Chordata; Mammalia; Didelphimorphia; Didelphidae. The record is from RNAcentral.
UGAAAUGGUGAUGGAAUUGAAAUGAUGAUGGAUCAUUGUAUUGUGGAGACUUAUUGCAUCUUUGUCAAUUUGUUUUAUUUAAAAUAUUGCUAUUAUGUGUAGAUUGUUUUUCUGGUUCUGAUCAUUUUACAUUUUACUUAUAACAGUUCACAUAAGCUUCCUCAGGUUUUCCCUGAAGCAUUCAUUCACUUAAUGAUCUCCUACAGCACAUUGGUAUUUUAUCACAUUCACAUACCAUACCUUGUUCAACCAUUCCCAAGUUGAAAUGCAUUUCCUCCUUUUCUAGUUCUUUACCACCAAAAAAAAAAACUACUAUAAAUAUUUGCAUGUGUGUGCACAUAUGAUUCUUUCCCCUCUUUCUUUGAAUUAUUAGGGGCAUAGACCUAGUAGAAAUGUUGCUGCUGGGUAAAGAGCAUAUGAAGUUUUUUAGCCUUUUGUACUCAGUAACAAAUUGUUCUGCAGAAUAGUUGGACUAGUUCAGAGAUCCACCAACCGUGCUUUAAUGUAACUAUUUUCCCAUAGACCUUGGGAGGGCUUUUCAUUUCAUUCAACUUUUUCAUUUCUCUCUUUUUAAUAGAAGAGGAAACGGAGAUACAGAAAAUGUAGGUAACUUAACUAAGGUCACUCAGGUAGCAAGCAAUAGAACUGGAAUUCAGAUCUAGCUAUUUGACUUUAAAUACAUUGUACUUAUCAUUCUACCACAAGAACAUAACUAAAAAUUGACUCAACAACAACAAAGUUUCUGGAAGCCAUGUAUUUCAUAUCAGUAGAGAUCAUCAAAUGGUUUCUGGAGCCCUACUUUUCAGGAUGUUAGUACUAGGGUAUGUGACUUUCAGAUAUCAAUUACCUUUGAGGUAAUUUCCAACUUUAUGUUUCUGGGAUUCAUAGGACCCAUAAUUUGAUAAGAGGUUAUAAAUAUAUUUCUCUAUAUAUGUAAUUUAAAAUUGUCUGAACAUUUAUAUAUGAUAUACUUUUAAACUUCUUACCUCUUGUCUUAUAAUCAACAUUAAGUAUUGGUUCCAAGGAGGAAGAGUGAUAAGGGCUAGACAAUUGAUGUUAAGUGACUUGCUCAGGGUAACACAGCUAAGAA